CCUGAACGCUGGCGGCGUGGCUAAGACAUGCAAGUCGCACGGGCGUAGCAAUACGUCAGUGGCGAACGGGUGAGUAAUGAAUCGCUAAUGUACCCCGGACUCCGGGAUAGCUGCCCGAAAGGGCAGGUAGUACCGGAUGACAUACCUCCAAGGCAUCUUGGGGGUCUCAAAGGUCCGCCGGUCUGGGAGCAGGCGAUUUCGUAUCAGCUAGUUGGUGCGGGUAACGGCCCACCAAGGCGACGACGCGUAGCCGGACUGAGAGGUUGGCCGGCCACAUCGGGACUGAGACACUGCCCGGACUCCUACGGGGGCUGCAGUAACGAAUCUUCCCCAAUGCACGCAAGUGUGAGGGAGCGACGCCGCGUGUGGGACGAAGUCC
RNAcentral lists this ribosomal RNA (379 nucleotides) under uncultured bacterium. Its description in RNAcentral is "bacterial SSU rRNA". It matches the Rfam family "Bacterial small subunit ribosomal RNA", at positions 30 to 416 of the family's 1533-position model. The record is from RNAcentral.